Molecule: ribosomal RNA, 844 nt
Filed under: Candidatus Allofontibacter lacus
Lineage: Bacteria; Pseudomonadati; Pseudomonadota; Alphaproteobacteria; Candidatus Pelagibacterales; Candidatus Pelagibacteraceae
Description: partial 23S ribosomal RNA
Rfam family: Bacterial large subunit ribosomal RNA
Source: RNAcentral
GAAUAAAUUAUUAGGUGCAAACGGUGGAUGCCUAGGCAUCAGGAGCCGAUGAAGGACGUAUGAGGCUGCGAAAAGCCUCGGGGAGCUGCCAACAGAGCUUUGAUCCGAGGAUUUCCGAAUGGGGAAACCCAAUGGGAGUAAUGUCCCAUUACUUCUGCCUGAAUAUAUAGGGCAGAUAGAGGGAACGUGGGGAAGUGAAACAUCUCAGUACCCACAGGAAGAGAAAACAAAAGUGAUUCCGUUAGUAGUGGCGAGCGAACGCGGAAAUAGGCUAAACCGAUAAUGUGUCAAGCCGGCAGGCGUUGCAUUAUCGGGGUCGUGGGACCAUGAAGAGUGGACUGCCGUUCAUUCAUUGAGUAAAAAAUCACUGCUAUAGAUGAAGGAUCUGGAAAGAUCCGGCAAAGAAGGUAACACCCCUGUAGUCGAAAUAUCAGUGACUCAAUUGUGUAAUCCCAAGUAGCACGGGGCCCGAGAAAUCCCGUGUGAAUCUGGCGGGACCACCCGCUAAGCCUGAAUACUCCCUGAUGACCGAUAGUGAACAAGUACCGUGAGGGAAAGGUGAAAAGAACCCCGAGAGGGGAGUGAAAUAGAUUCUGAAACCGUUUGCAUACAAGCCGUAGGAGCGAGAGCAAUCUUGUGACUGCGUGCCUUUUGAAGAAUGAACCUGCGAGUUAGUGUUAUGUGGCGAGGUUAACCCGUGAGGGGCAACCGUAGCGAAAGCGAGUCUGAAUAGGGCGAAUUAGUCGCAUGAUCUAGACCCGAAGCGAGGUGAUCUACGCAUGGUCAGGUUGAAGCGCGGGUAAGACCGCGUGGAGGACCGAACCCACUAAUGUUGAAAAAUUAG